RNAcentral lists this ribosomal RNA (463 nucleotides) under Salmonella enterica. RNAcentral describes it as "bacterial SSU rRNA". It matches the Rfam family "Bacterial small subunit ribosomal RNA", at positions 1 to 460 of the family's 1533-position model. The record is from RNAcentral. Lineage: Bacteria; Pseudomonadati; Pseudomonadota; Gammaproteobacteria; Enterobacterales; Enterobacteriaceae.
AAAUUGAAGAGUUUGAUCAUGGCUCAGAUUGAACGCUGGCGGCAGGCCUAACACAUGCAAGUCGAACGGUAACAGGAAGCAGCUUGCUGCUUCGCUGACGAGUGGCGGACGGGUGAGUAAUGUCUGGGAAACUGCCUGAUGGAGGGGGGUAACUACUGGAAACGGUGGCUAAUACCGCAUAACGUCGCAAGACCAAAGAGGGGGACCUUCGGGCCUCUUGCCAUCAGAUGUGCCCAGAUGGGAUUAGCUAGUUGGUGAGGUAACGGCUCACCAAGGCGACGAUCCCUAGCUGGUCUGAGAGGAUGACCAGCCACACUGGAACUGAGACACGGUCCAGACUCCUACGGGAGGCAGCAGUGGGGAAUAUUGCACAAUGGGCGCAAGCCUGAUGCAGCCAUGCCGCGUGUAUGAAGAAGGCCUUCGGGUUGUAAAGUACUUUCAGCGGGGAGGAAGGUGUUGUGGU